AUUGCACCCCCUUCAUCAUCUCUCUCUUUGGAUUCUGAAACCAACGCGAAGAGCAAAGCCCACUGAAAUUGCCUGCACGUUCUCUGAAGCCAAAUCUCUCACACAAAUAUAACAGUAAAAGGACUGUUCCCUCUACUCGUCUCCUCGAGCCGGCGUGUUAUUCCGUUGCUUUUUCUCCGCUUUCUGGCUGAGCAGCCUUUACCAGAGCCCGGAAUCAUAUGCAAAGGUAGCUUAACCGUCACGCUUGCGAUGGGUUUUUGAUGUGGGUUUCUGCUGAAUGAUCAAUAACGGGAUUGUCUCUUUGUCCAGAGGUCUGUUCUUCACAUCUCAUCUCUUGUCUGAUGGCUGAAAACGGUGUUGAUUCACC
Molecule: long non-coding RNA, 367 nt
Organism: Neltuma alba
Lineage: Eukaryota; Viridiplantae; Streptophyta; Magnoliopsida; Fabales; Fabaceae
Exons: 3
Source: RefSeq, a predicted model, not a curated record